Molecule: unclassified non-coding RNA, 303 nt
Filed under: uncultured Sebacina
Lineage: Eukaryota; Fungi; Basidiomycota; Agaricomycetes; Sebacinales; Sebacinaceae
Description: sequence contains 5.8S rRNA gene
Source: RNAcentral
GAACGCACCUUGCGCCCUUUGGCUAUUCUGAAGGGUAUGCUCGUUUGAGUGUCAUUGUACUCUCACACUCUCUGAUCCUUUGGAUUCAGGGAGCGGUGGACUUGGGUGUUUGCUGCUUUUCCUUGUGGCUCACCUCAAAUGUGUUAGUGCACCUCUUGGUUGGACAUAGAACGGCGUGAUAAGUGUCUUCGCCGGCGCCUCGCAAGAGGGUGGCCAAUUGGGAGCUCUGUGCUUUCAAACCGUCUUCGGACAAUCUUUGACAACUUGACCUCAAAUCGAGUAGGACUACCCGCUGAACUUAAG